Long non-coding RNA from Myotis brandtii (Brandt's bat), 773 nucleotides. RefSeq lists it as uncharacterized. Lineage: Eukaryota; Metazoa; Chordata; Mammalia; Chiroptera; Vespertilionidae. The transcript has 2 exons. The record is from RefSeq and is a predicted model, not a curated record.
GAUUAAAGUAGCUCCCUGAAGCAGGACUGACUUGAGUCCCUAUGAAAUAAUAUAUGGACCACCUUUUCAGAUGGCUAUAGGAACAGGAGAUAUAUAUGUAGACCAUGAUGUUAAAAUUAAGAAUUAUAUGCAGCAUCUUAAUCAAACACUGACUGGAAUGAAUAAUUUGGCAUGUGCCAGGGAUUUUCUGUCAGAGGUCUGCCACAUCCCUUUGAAUCAAGAGACAGAGUUCUCCUCAAAACAUGGAAAACCAGAUUGCCAGAUGAUCAACUAGAGGAAUAACCAGACAGGAUCCUGGAACAUGCUCCUCACCACUCCAACUGCUCUGAAGCCGGCAGCAGGAAAGUCCUGGAUCCAUCACACCAGAGUGAAGAGGGCACCAGAACCUAAGGAACACCUCAAGGCCAGCAGAGGACAUUUGGCUCAGGUGGACUAAAAAGUCCCAAAUGAGAAAGUGGCCCCAGCCUCAUUUUGUGGAACAGCCAUCAGUCACUCUAUCCAGCACAGCAGGAGGCAGCCGCACUGAGGGCGAGACAGCAGGCCAACGAUAACAACGGCUUACAGCCCACAGCCUCAAUGGCCAGCACUAAUUGGUCUGAAGGACAACGAGCUCCAUCUAAUCAGACUAGAACACCUACAUCCCUGAGCCUCCGCCCCUUGCCAUUUUGGCGCAUAAAAUUCAACCCCAAGGACAGCGGAGGCUGAGUCCUAACCUUCCUCGUUGGCUCCAUCCCCCAUUCCCUCUAAUAAACUUCCCUCCUGCUUGCUCGCUG